Molecule: ribosomal RNA, 119 nt
Filed under: Escherichia coli
Lineage: Bacteria; Pseudomonadati; Pseudomonadota; Gammaproteobacteria; Enterobacterales; Enterobacteriaceae
Also listed under: 9 other names
Description: partial 23S ribosomal RNA
Rfam family: Bacterial large subunit ribosomal RNA
Source: RNAcentral
UCCCUGAGACUUAGAGUCUCCUGAAGGAACGUUGAAGACGACGACGUUGAUAGGCCGGGUGUGUAAGCGCAGCGAUGCGUUGAGCUAACCGGUACUAAUGAACCGUGAGGCUUAACCUU